UGGGGAAUAUUGCGCAAUGGCCGCAAGGCUGACGCAGCGACGCCGCGUGUGGGAUGAAGGCCUUCGGGUUGUAAACCACUGUCGGGGGGGGCGAAUACCUGGCUUCGAAUAGGAGACCAGGGGUGACGGUACCUCCAAAGGAAGCACCGGCUAACUCCGUGCCAGCAGCCGCGGUAAUACGGAGGGUGCAAGCGUUGUCCGGAAUCACUGGGCGUAAAGGGCGCGUAGGCGGCUAUGUAAGUCACUUGUGAAAUCCCGGGGCUCAACUCCGGGGCCGCAGGUGAGACUGUGUGGCUAGAGCAUGGUAGAGGCGAGUGGAAUUCCCGGUGUAGCGGUGGAAUGCGUAGAUAUCGGGAAGAACACCGGUGGCGAAGGCGGCUCGCUGGGCCAUUGCUGACGCUGAGGCGCGAAAGCGUGGGGAGCAAACAG
Molecule: ribosomal RNA, 429 nt
Filed under: uncultured bacterium
Lineage: Bacteria
Description: bacterial SSU rRNA
Rfam family: Bacterial small subunit ribosomal RNA
Source: RNAcentral